AGAGUUUGAUCAUGGCUCAGGACGAACGCUGGCGGCGUGGAUAAGGCAUGCAAGUCGAACGCGAACGGAAUGACUAACUCGUUAGAAGUUCCUAGUAGAGUGGCGAACGGGUGAGUAACGCGUGGAUAACGUGCCUCUCAGUGGGGAAUAACACAGGGAAACUUGUGCUAAUACCGCAUACGUCCUUCCGGCCAAGUCGGAAUGAUGAAAGGUGGGGACCUUCGGGCCUGCCGCUGAGAGAUCGGUCCGCGUCCCAUUAGCUUGUUGGUGGGGUAACGGCCUACCAAGGCAGUGAUGGGUAGCCGGCCUGAGAGGGUGACCGGCCACACUGGGAUUGAGAUACGGCCCAGACUCCUUCGGGAGGCAGCAGUCGAGAAUCUUCCACAAUGGACGAAAGUCUGAUGGAGCGACGCCGCGUGAGUGAUGAAGGCCCUACGGGUUGUAAAACUCUGUCAGGAGAGAAGAAUCGCCGGGAUGCCAAUACCAUCCUGGUCUGACGUUAUCUCCAGAGGAAGCUCCGGCUAACUCCGUGCCAGCAGCCGCGGUAAUACGGGGGGAGCAAGCGUUGUCCGGAAUUAUUGGGCGUAAAGGGCGUGUAGGCGGCCUGGUCAGUCGAAUGUGAAAUCCCACGGCUCAACCGUGGAAUUGCGUUCGAUACUGCCUGGCUUGAGUAUGUGAGAGGUGUGCGGAAUUCCUGGUGUAGCGGUGGAAUGCGUAGAUAUCAGGAAGAACACCGAUGGCGAAGGCAGCACACUGGCGCAAUACUGACGCUGAGGCGCGAAAGCGUGGGGAGCAAACAGGAUUAGAUACCCUGAUAGUCCACGCUGUAAACGAUGGGUACUGGGUUUCGGGGGUCUCAACCCUCUCGGAGCCGUAGCUAACGCGUUAAGUACCCCGCCUGGGGAGUACGGUCGCAAGGCUGAAACUUAAAUGAAUUGACGG
RNAcentral lists this ribosomal RNA (942 nucleotides) under bacterium enrichment culture clone B6_66. Its description in RNAcentral is "bacterial SSU rRNA". It matches the Rfam family "Bacterial small subunit ribosomal RNA", at positions 8 to 916 of the family's 1533-position model. The record is from RNAcentral.